CAACAAGUCCGCCCACACCACAUCUCCAGGGUCGACUGCAGGGGUCGGUUCCCAGAGUGGUACAAUAAACUGUAUGGACACCUGUGUGCCAGUGAGGUGGUGCGGAUACGCCAGUCCUUCACCAGCCAGAUGGAUAAGUGGAGGUGGUGCGAUACGCCAGUCCUUCACCAGCCAGAUGGAUAAGUGAGGUGGUGCGGAUACGCCAGUCCUUCACCAGCCAGAUGGAUAAGUGAGGGCCAGGCAGCACCACUUGACUUGGAGACCAAAGUCACAAGAAGGGGCGACACCGGGGAACCCAAAGACUCUCUUAUCCACCCCCACCUCACCCCUAAUUCGCUACAGCCCUGAUGCUGGUUGGGGUUGACUGGGGAGGACAACCCAUUGACUCAUUUGAUUCAAGCUGUUGACAGACAUACCAUUGUGUCCUGGACAGAGAGACUUUGAACAGACUUUGUCGUCAUCCGUAGACUGUCAUCAACGACCAGGUUGGUGUUACUGCCUCCGAGGGUCAUGCAAGGACUGGAACGGACGUGGACCCUCAAAAGUUCUUUCAGAGUUGUGUUAUGGUUUCUUGUGCCAGGUGGUGCGUUGCGGGCGGCACGA
Non-coding RNA from Salvelinus sp. IW2-2015, 603 nucleotides. The record is from RefSeq and is a predicted model, not a curated record. Lineage: Eukaryota; Metazoa; Chordata; Actinopteri; Salmoniformes; Salmonidae.